CCCUUAGAUGUUCUGGGCCGCACGCGCGCUACACUGUUCGACGCAGCGAGUCUUAACCUUGACCGAAAGGUUUGGGUAAUCUUCAGCAAAGUCGAACGUGAUGGGGAUCGAUCAUUGCAAUUAUUGAUCGUGAACGAGGAAUUCCUAGUAAGUGCAAGUCAUCAGUUUGCGCUGAUUACGUCCCUGCCCUUUGUACACACCGCCCGUCGCUACUACCGAUUGAAUGGUUUAGUGAGAUCUCUGGAUUGACGCUGGCUAGGGGGCGACCCUUGGCCAGGCUGUCGAGAAACUGCUCAAACUUGAUCAUUUAGAGGAAGUAAAAGUCGUAACA
RNAcentral lists this ribosomal RNA (331 nucleotides) under uncultured eukaryote. RNAcentral describes it as "partial 18S ribosomal RNA". It matches the Rfam family "Eukaryotic small subunit ribosomal RNA", at positions 1470 to 1796 of the family's 1831-position model. The record is from RNAcentral.